RNAcentral lists this long non-coding RNA (375 nucleotides) under Theobroma cacao (cacao). Its description in RNAcentral is "long non-coding RNA (TCAC_LNC003848)". The record is from RNAcentral. Lineage: Eukaryota; Viridiplantae; Streptophyta; Magnoliopsida; Malvales; Malvaceae.
UAUUUGUAUCAAAAUUAUAUAUACUAUGUAUUCAGCCUUGAGAGGCUAGAUUGCGAUAAAUUGCCAUGUCAUGCAGAUAAGGAUUUUAUAGAUCAGUUGGUAGAUAAAAUAAUCCAUAGUCACUGCAGUGGUGGGGGGUUUUGUGGACCAGCCUAUUAGAGGGGCACGGUAAACUCCUUUAUAUUCUCACCUCGGUCGUAGAAGCACGUAGGGUAUCUCCUGAGGUGGGCUUUUUGAGUGCACUUCACGUUAACCACCACGUGAAGUGAGACUCAGUCAACGCCAAGGAACGGUUGCUUUUUUUUCAAAAUAAAAACAAGUUUUAUGAUUAUAUAAAAUUUUUCACAACCUUGGCGGACUCGGUUGGAUACCCCU